CACAAGCGGUGGAGUAUGUGGUUUAAUUCGAUGCAACGCGAAGAACCUUACCUGGUCUUGACAUCCCGGAGACCCUUAGGAAACUAGGGGGUGCUUCCAUCUGGAAGAAUCUGGAGACAGGUGCUGCAUGGCUGUCGUCAGCUCGUGUCGUGAGACGUUGGGUUAAGUCCCGCAACGAGCGCAACCCUUGCCUUUAGUUGCCAGCAGUUCGGCUGGGCACUCUAAAGGGACUGCCGGUGUUAAACCGGAGGAAGGUGGGGAUGACGUCAAGUCCUCAUGGCCUUUAUGACCAGGGCUACACACGUACUACAAUGGCCGAUACAAAGGGCAGCGACACUGCGAGGUGAAGCCAAUCCCGUAAAAUCGGUCUCAGUCCGGAUUGGAGUCUGCAACUCGACUCCAUGAAGUUGGAAUCGCUAGUAAUCGUGGAUCAGCAUGCCACGGUGAAUACGUUCCCGGGCCUU
Molecule: ribosomal RNA, 464 nt
Filed under: uncultured Desulfobulbus sp.
Lineage: Bacteria; Pseudomonadati; Thermodesulfobacteriota; Desulfobulbia; Desulfobulbales; Desulfobulbaceae
Description: bacterial SSU rRNA
Rfam family: Bacterial small subunit ribosomal RNA
Source: RNAcentral